This 497-nucleotide ribosomal RNA is filed under the name uncultured bacterium. RNAcentral's name for it is "bacterial SSU rRNA". It matches the Rfam family "Bacterial small subunit ribosomal RNA", at positions 29 to 517 of the family's 1533-position model. The record is from RNAcentral.
AACGAACGCUGGCGGCGCGCCUAAUACAUGCAAGUCGAGCGAGAAGGUGUAGCAAUACACUUGUAAAGCGGCGAACGGGUGAGGAAUACAUGGGUAAUCUACCAUCGAGUGGGGAAUAACCAGCCGAAAGGUUGGCUAAUACCGCGUACGCCUCCGAAUCUUCGGGUUCGGAGGGAAAGCCACACUGUGAGUGCGGCGCUCUUUGAUGAGCUCAUGUCCUAUCAGCUUGUUGGUAGGGUAACGGCCUACCAAGGCUUUGACGGGUAGCUGGUCUGAGAGGACGAUCAGCCACACUGGGCACUGCGACACGGGGCCAGACUCCUACGGGAGGCAGCAGUAAGGAAUAUUGCGCAAUGGGCGAAAGCCUGACGCAGCGACGCCGCGUGGGGGAUGAAGGUCUUCGGAUUGUAAACCCCUUUCGGGAGGGAAGAUGGAGCGAGCAAUCGUUCGGACGGUACCUCCAGAAGCAGCCACGGCCAACUUCGUGCCAGCAGCCG